Molecule: ribosomal RNA, 253 nt
Filed under: uncultured bacterium
Lineage: Bacteria
Description: partial 16S ribosomal RNA
Rfam family: Bacterial small subunit ribosomal RNA
Source: RNAcentral
UACGUAGGGUCCGAGCGUUGUCCGGAAUUAUUGGACGUAAAGGGCUCGUAGGCGGUCUGUUGCGUCAGGAGUGAAAACUCGGGGCUUAACCCCGAGCCUGCUUCUGAUACGGGCAGACUAGAGGUAUGCAGGGGAGAACGGAAUUCCUGGUGUAGCGGUGAAAUGCGCAGAUAUCAGGAGGAACACCGGUGGCGAAGGCGGUUCUCUGGGCCGAUACUGACGCUGAGGAGCGAAAGCGUGGGGAGCGAACAGG